RNAcentral lists this ribosomal RNA (490 nucleotides) under uncultured bacterium. RNAcentral describes it as "partial 16S ribosomal RNA". It matches the Rfam family "Bacterial small subunit ribosomal RNA", at positions 30 to 507 of the family's 1533-position model. The record is from RNAcentral.
AUUGAACGCUGGCGGCAGGCCUAACACAUGCAAGUCGAACGGUAACAGGAAACAGCUUGCUGUUUCGCUGACGAGUGGCGGACGGGUGAGUAAUGUCUGGGAAGCUGCCUGAUGGAGGGGGAUAACUACUGGAAACGGUAGCUAAUACCGCAUAACGUCGCAAGACCAAAGAGGGGGACCUUCGGGCCUCUUGCCAUCGGAUGUGCCCAGAUGGGAUUAGCUAGUAGGUGGGGUAACGGCUCACCUAGGCGACGAUCCCUAGCUGGUCUGAGAGGAUGACCAGCCACACUGGAACUGAGACACGGUCCAGACUCCUACGGGAGGCAGCAGUGGGGAAUAUUGCACAAUGGGCGCAAGCCUGAUGCAGCCAUGCCGCGUGUAUGAAGAAGGCCUUCGGGUUGUAAAGUACUUUCAGCGGGGAGGAAGGGAGUAAAGUUAAUACCUUUACUCAUUGACGUUACCCGCAGAAGAAGCACCGGCUAACUCCGUG